UACGUAGGGGGCAAGCGUUGUCCGGAUUUAUUGGGCGUAAAGAGCGUGUAGGCGGCUUUGCAAGUCCGUUGUGAAAACUCGAGGCUCAACCUCGAGACGCCGAUGGAAACCAUCUGGCUAGAGUCCGGAAGAGGCGAGUGGAACUCCUGGUGUAGCGGUGGAAUGCGCAGAUAUCAGGAAGAACACCAACGGCGAAGGCAGCUCGCUGGGACGGAACUGACGCUAAGGCGCGAAAGCGUGGGGAGCGAACAGG
RNAcentral lists this ribosomal RNA (253 nucleotides) under uncultured bacterium. RNAcentral describes it as "partial 16S ribosomal RNA". It matches the Rfam family "Bacterial small subunit ribosomal RNA", at positions 524 to 776 of the family's 1533-position model. The record is from RNAcentral.